AUACGUAGGGGGCGAGCGUUGUCCGGAAUUACUGGGCGUAAAGGGUGCGUAGGCGGCCGAUUAAGUUGGAUGUGAAAUACCCGUGCUCAACAUGGGGGGUGCAUUCAAAACUGGUUGGCUAGAGUACAGGAGAGGGAAGCGGAAUUCCUAGUGUAGCGGUGAAAUGCGUAGAUAUUAGGAGGAACACCAGUGGCGAAGGCGGCUUUCUGGACUGACACUGACGCUGAGGCACGAAAGCGUGGGGAGCAAACAGGAUUAGAUACCCUGGUAGUCCCAGCUGUAAACGAUGAAUACUAGGUGUAGGGGGUAUGAACUGCAUCUGUGACGCAGCAAACGCAAUAAGUAUUCCGCCUGGGGAGUACGGCCGCAAGGUUGA
RNAcentral lists this ribosomal RNA (376 nucleotides) under uncultured bacterium. RNAcentral's name for it is "bacterial SSU rRNA". It matches the Rfam family "Bacterial small subunit ribosomal RNA", at positions 523 to 897 of the family's 1533-position model. The record is from RNAcentral.